Molecule: ribosomal RNA, 813 nt
Filed under: uncultured crenarchaeote
Lineage: Archaea; Thermoproteati; Thermoproteota
Description: bacterial SSU rRNA
Rfam family: Archaeal small subunit ribosomal RNA
Source: RNAcentral
UGCGAGUCAUUGUAGUAAUACAAGGCAGACGGCUCAGUAACGCGUAGUCCACCUAACCUAUGGACGGGAAUAACCUCGGGAAACUGAGUAUAAUGCCCGAUAGAACAUUAUACCUGGAAUGGUUUAUGUUCCAAAUGAUUUAUCGCCGUAGGAUGGGACUGCGGCCUAUCAGUUUGUUGGUGAGGUAAUGGCCCACCAAGACUAUUACAGGUACGGGCUCUGAGAGGAGUAGCCCGGAGAUGGGUACUGAGACACGGACCCAGGCCCUAUGGGGCGCAGCAGGCGAGAAAACUUUGCAAUGUGCGAAAGCACGACAAGGUUAAUCCGAGUGGUUUCUGCUAAAGGAACCUUUUGUCGGUCCUAGAAACACCGAUGAAUAAGGGGUGGGCAAGUUCUGGUGUCAGCCGCCGCGGUAAAACCAGCACCUCAAGUGGUCAGGAUGAUUAUUGGGCCUAAAGCAUCCGUAGCCGGCUCUGUAAGUUUUCGGUUAAAUCUGUACGCUUAACGUACAGGCUGCCGGGAAUACUGCGGAGCUAGGGAGUGGGAGAGGUAGACGGUACUCGGUAGGAAGGGGUAAAAUCCUUUGAUCUAUUGAUGACCACCUGUGGCGAAGGCGGUCUACCAGAACACGUCCGACGGUGAGGGGUGAAAGCUGGGGGAGCAAACCGGAUUAGAUACCCGGGUAGUCCCAGCUGUAAACUAUGCAAACUCAGUGAUGCAUUGGCUUGUGGCCAAUGCAGUGCUGCAGGGAAGCCGUUAAGUUUACCGCCUGGGAAGUACGUACGCAAGUAUGAAACUCAAAGGAAUUGACGG